UCCUUACAAAACAUCUUUUUUAAAUACACCAAUAGAACUAAUUGAAAAUAUCGAUCACUUCCAAAAUGUCCUUUUUUAUUCCACAAUUAACCCUUCUCAUAACAAAAUAUUUUUAUAAUCAUCACAAGUUGGAUUAACAGUCUCCUAAAAAAGAUGGAAUGGUAAUGCAACCAUGGUUUCUUAAUUUUAACUUCUCUUUCUCCUUUCAAACUUAUCUUUCAAUUUGAAUAGUCCUCAACUUUGUUAAUAGUAUCUCCAUUCCGUUGUUAAAUUCUCGUUCUAAUCUUUUAUUUAUUAUUUUCCAAUGUUUGAUAUUGAUUUGAAUAUUGGAAGUGAAAGCCUUAAAAUAUUUUGAUAUCUAUAAUAGCCAAUAGCCAACAACUAUGUUUUCACCAUACGAAUGAAAAGUGCAAAAGAUACAAGAGGAAUGGAUGUAAUUCAAUUUUGGGUUUAAUCUGUAAACACAAAUAAAAGGUGUUUCAUCGAGAGUUUGGAGUGGUGCCAAUAUCUCCGCUCUUUAUUUAAAGACACAAGUUCCACUCAUUGACCCAAAUUACCACCUAGUGAGUCUAAUUUAGUAAGGUUAAUUUGAACUCUAAUUAUUAUUAUUAUUGACUUGCCCAUUUCAUUGAAAAAAUUAAAGAUUUAAAAAUAAAGAAUUGAACUAUUGAUAAAGUGUUGUGUAUUAUUAAGAAAAAAUAAAAUAAAAUAAAUAAACAUAACAUGCUACUGCACUUAGAUUUCUUUCUCUCCCGCUGUCCUUCGAUCGUGACGAAAAAUUUGAUUAACACUGAAUUAGAACUAAACUAAGUGGAUUCUCCUCUACAUAAUAAGCCAGGGUUUGUAUGACAUAUAACAACAAGUAGGUGAAUCAAAAAAUGUGUAAAUGAAAGAAAAACUUAAGACAACUCUCUAAAGUGGUUUAAUGCACAACAACAAAACGUUAGACUCAAUAUUGGGUUCCCCAUGAAAAUACUUUUUUUUCCACAUUGUUUCCUUCUAUUUUGAAUGAAUUUCUCCUGGUUUCAUUGUAUAUUUCGAUGACGGCCACCACAUCUAACACGUCAUUAAACCUCCCUUUAAACUAAAAUAGCAGAGAGUAAUGUACGAUACAACAAAAUUCUUAAAUGACGGGGUGCUUGUGGGGGGGGGGGUGUGCCACGACGAAACAAGGGAAUGAAAGGCUGCUUUGCGAUGGAUGCUCCUUACUUUGGACUGAUCUUGUUACAACCGUCUCAUAAGUUUU
Molecule: long non-coding RNA, 1246 nt
Filed under: Citrus x clementina
Lineage: Eukaryota; Viridiplantae; Streptophyta; Magnoliopsida; Sapindales; Rutaceae
Description: Citrus clementina (C. clementina) long non-coding RNA (CCLE_LNC001086)
Source: RNAcentral